GGAAUUUUGGACAAUGGGCGCAAGCCUGAUCCAGCAAUGCCGCGUGAGUGAAGAAGGCCUUCGGGUUGUAAAGCUCUUUUGUCAGGGAAGAAACGGUGGACUCUAAUACAGAUCACUAAUGACGGUACCUGAAGAAUAAGCACCGGCUAACUACGUGCCAGCAGCCGCGGUAAUACGUAGGGUGCAAGCGUUAAUCGGAAUUACUGGGCGUAAAGCGUGCGCAGGCGGUUUGGUAAGACAGAUGUGAAAUCCCCGGGCUCAACCUGGGAAUUGCAUUUGUGACUGCCCGGCUAGAGUGUGUCAGAGGGGGGUAGAAUUCCACGUGUAGCAGUGAAAUGCGUAGAGAUGUGGAGGAAUACCGAUGGCGAAGGCAGCCCCCUGGGAUAACACUGACGCUCAUGCACGAAAGCGUGGGGAGCAAACAGGAUUAGAUACCCCUG
Molecule: ribosomal RNA, 440 nt
Filed under: uncultured Herminiimonas sp.
Lineage: Bacteria; Pseudomonadati; Pseudomonadota; Betaproteobacteria; Burkholderiales; Oxalobacteraceae
Description: bacterial SSU rRNA
Rfam family: Bacterial small subunit ribosomal RNA
Source: RNAcentral